RNAcentral lists this ribosomal RNA (245 nucleotides) under uncultured Sphingobacteriales bacterium. RNAcentral describes it as "partial 16S ribosomal RNA". It matches the Rfam family "Bacterial small subunit ribosomal RNA", at positions 1139 to 1382 of the family's 1533-position model. Lineage: Bacteria; Pseudomonadati; Bacteroidota; Sphingobacteriia; Sphingobacteriales. The record is from RNAcentral.
UCUAGCGAAACUGCCACCGUAAGGUGAGAGGAAGGUGGGAUGACGUCAAAUCAGCACGGCCCUUAUGUCCAGGGCUACACACGUGUUACAAUGGCCGGCACAGAGGGCAGCUACCUGGUGACAGGAUGCUAAGUCUCGAAAAACCGGUCUCAGUUCGGAUCGAAGUCUGCAACUCGACUUCGUGAAGCUGGAUUCGCUAGUAAUCGCGCAUCAGCCAUGGCGCGGUGAAUACGUUCCCGGGCCUU